Long non-coding RNA from Gasterosteus aculeatus aculeatus (three-spined stickleback), 363 nucleotides. The record is from Ensembl. NCBI's taxonomy places the organism in Eukaryota, Metazoa, Chordata, Actinopteri, Perciformes, Gasterosteidae.
GUGCGUGCCUUCCAUCGUGUGGGAUGACAAAGAAUUGGAGAUAUCCUCUGCAGGGUCUUCUGAAGCGGUCAAGAUGUCUUCAACAUGCCUGUUCCAGAAGCAAUGGAGGAAUCAGAGAGGAGGAAUGGAUUUGUUGUCACACCACCAUCCACCAUCCGCCAUCCAGCUCUUUGACCCGGAGAGUAAUGCAAAGAAAAGGAGACCCAGAUCAAUUUGAAUCGUUUCAAAGAAAGAGAAGCCGCUGUCUGGGCCCACAUGUGAAAGGCCAGGCUGGAUUAAGGUAUCAUCGUGAUGGUAUGCUGCCCUAUGGACAGACAGGCAGGAAGAAGACCUAAAUCCCUGUCUGGAGCAGAGCAAGGUCUC